RNAcentral lists this transfer RNA (73 nucleotides) under Candidatus Roizmanbacteria bacterium CG17_big_fil_post_rev_8_21_14_2_50_39_7. RNAcentral's name for it is "tRNA-Arg". It matches the Rfam family "tRNA". From Rfam's summary of the family: Transfer RNA (tRNA) molecules are approximately 80 nucleotides in length. The record is from RNAcentral. Lineage: Bacteria; Candidatus Roizmaniibacteriota.
GUCCUCAUAGCUCAAGUGGAUAGAGCACAGGUUUCCUAAACCUGGUAUGUAGGUUCAACUCCUACUGGGGACA